AAGUCGUAACAAGGUUUCCGUAGGUGAACCUGCGGAAGGAUCAUUAAAAAAUGAGGUAUUUUUUAUACCUCUUGUAUUUAAAACCCGACUCUUAAAAUAUAUAUUUUUUUUCAAAAAAAAAAAAAACUUUCAACAAUGGAUCUCUUGGCUCUC
Molecule: unclassified non-coding RNA, 153 nt
Filed under: Gigaspora sp.
Lineage: Eukaryota; Fungi; Glomeromycota; Glomeromycetes; Diversisporales; Gigasporaceae
Description: partial internal transcribed spacer region
Rfam family: Eukaryotic small subunit ribosomal RNA (bases 1-46)
Source: RNAcentral